UACAGAGGGGGCAAGCGUUAUUCGGAAUUAUUGGGCGUAAAGGGCGCGUAGGCGGCUAUUCAAGUGACGGGUGAAAGCCCUCGGCUUAACCGAGGAACUGCCUGUCAGACUGGAUGGCUUGAGACCGGGAGAGGUGAGUGGAAUUCCCAGUGUAGCGGUGAAAUGCGUAGAUAUUGGGAGGAACACCAGUGGCGAAGGCGGCUCACUGGACCGGAACUGACGCUGAGGCGCGAAAGCGUGGGGAGCAAACAGG
Molecule: ribosomal RNA, 253 nt
Filed under: uncultured bacterium
Lineage: Bacteria
Description: partial 16S ribosomal RNA
Rfam family: Bacterial small subunit ribosomal RNA
Source: RNAcentral